UUGAAACUAAUACUAUCUCUCAUCAUCAUUCUUUUCUCAUAAUUCUCCCUUAGAUUCUGUUUAAACGCUCUCUUUCUCUUGUUCCUUUACAGAUCAUCGUCUUACAUCCAUGGCUGAGGAGACUCAAAAGCCGGAAGCAGCAGCAGCAGCGGCGGCGGCGGCGCCAGCUGAGGAAGUGGUGGUUGAGAAGCCCGAAGUUACAGAGAAAGAGCCACCACCGCCUGCUCCCGAGCCAGAGCCUGAGGCACCCGAAAAGCCGGCAGCUGCUGUAGUUAAAGAGAAAGAAGCUGAGGUUGAAUCUGUUGAAGUUCAGAAGCCUAAGGUUGAAGAAAAGGAAACUAAGAUUACUCAGUCGGUUUCUUUCAAAGAAGA
This 372-nucleotide long non-coding RNA is filed under the name Durio zibethinus. RNAcentral describes it as "long non-coding RNA (DZIB_LNC001376)". The record is from RNAcentral. Lineage: Eukaryota; Viridiplantae; Streptophyta; Magnoliopsida; Malvales; Malvaceae.